This 1402-nucleotide ribosomal RNA is filed under the name Staphylococcus hominis. Its description in RNAcentral is "bacterial LSU rRNA". It matches the Rfam family "Bacterial large subunit ribosomal RNA", at positions 1525 to 2925 of the family's 2925-position model. The record is from RNAcentral. Lineage: Bacteria; Bacillati; Bacillota; Bacilli; Caryophanales; Staphylococcaceae.
UUGAGUGUUAGGCAAAUCCGGCACUCUUAAGAUUGAGCUGUGAUGGGGAGAGGAAAUUGUUUCCUCGAGUCGUUGAUUUCACACUGCCGAGAAAAGCCUCUAGAUAGAGAUUAGGUGCCCGUACCGCAAACCGACACAGGUAGUCAAGAUGAGAAUUCUAAGGUGAGCGAGCGAACUCUCGUUAAGGAACUCGGCAAAAUGACCCCGUAACUUCGGGAGAAGGGGUGCUCUUUAGGGUGCAAGCCCAGAAGAGCCGCAGUGAAUAGGCCCAAGCGACUGUUUAUCAAAAACACAGGUCUCUGCUAAACCGUAAGGUGAUGUAUAGGGGCUGACGCCUGCCCGGUGCUGGAAGGUUAAGAGGAGUGGUUAGCUUCUGCGAAGCUACGAAUCGAAGCCCCAGUAAACGGCGGCCGUAACUAUAACGGUCCUAAGGUAGCGAAAUUCCUUGUCGGGUAAGUUCCGACCCGCACGAAAGGCGUAACGAUUUGGGCACUGUCUCAACGAGAGACUCGGUGAAAUCAUAGUACCUGUGAAGAUGCAGGUUACCCGCGACAGGACGGAAAGACCCCGUGGAGCUUUACUGUAGCCUGAUAUUGAAAUUCGGCACAGCUUGUACAGGAUAGGUAGGAGCCUUUGAAACGUGAGCGCUAGCUUACGUGGAGGCGUUGGUGGGAUACUACCCUAGCUGUGUUGGCUUUCUAACCCGCACCACUUAUCGUGGUGGGAGACAGUGUCAGGCGGGCAGUUUGACUGGGGCGGUCGCCUCCUAAAAGGUAACGGAGGCGCUCAAAGGUUCCCUCAGAAUGGUUGGAAAUCAUUCAUAGAGUGUAAAGGCAUAAGGGAGCUUGACUGCGAGACCUACAAGUCGAGCAGGGUCGAAAGACGGACUUAGUGAUCCGGUGGUUCCGCAUGGAAGGGCCAUCGCUCAACGGAUAAAAGCUACCCCGGGGAUAACAGGCUUAUCUCCCCCAAGAGUUCACAUCGACGGGGAGGUUUGGCACCUCGAUGUCGGCUCAUCGCAUCCUGGGGCUGUAGUCGGUCCCAAGGGUUGGGCUGUUCGCCCAUUAAAGCGGUACGCGAGCUGGGUUCAGAACGUCGUGAGACAGUUCGGUCCCUAUCCGUCGUGGGCGUAGGAAAUUUGAGAGGAGCUGUCCUUAGUACGAGAGGACCGGGAUGGACAUACCUCUGGUGUACCAGUUGUCGUGCCAACGGCAUAGCUGGGUAGCUAUGUAUGGACGGGAUAAGUGCUGAAAGCAUCUAAGCAUGAAGCCCCCCUCAAGAUGAGAUUUCCCAACUUCGGUUAUAAGAUCCCUCAGAGAUGAUGAGGUUAAUAGGUUCGAGGUGGAAGCGUGGUGACACGUGGAGCUGACGAAUACUAAUCGAUCGAAGACUUAAUCAAUUU